GCCCCAGAGGAUGAAGGGCACACCCAUCUGACCCCAGGAUUCACUCUGAGCAGAGGCCACACACCACACACCUGUCAGAUGUGGAUACUCCUUUGAAAAACCACAAAUGGGUGAGAGCUGGAGGGUUUCUCCUUCCAUGCUGGUCUGACUCAGCACCCACCAUGGGCUUCUCCAGACCCCAGGUCAAAGAUGCUUUGAACCCAGCCUGUCCUUGCUGGUAGUAGGCAGCGAGUAGGACUUCCAAGGCAGCCAGGACUUCCAAGGGGUGAGCUCCUUGUUGCUGUUUAGUUGCUAAGUCAUCUCCAACUCUUUUGCAACCGCAUGGACUGCAGCCUGCCAGGUUCCUCUGUCCAUGGGAUUUCCUGGGCAAGAAUAUUUGUGGGGACUCAUAACUCAAAUUUUUCCAGUCUUGAAGUUUACCUGUGAACUUGGUACGUCCCCAAGGGUGGAAUGUCCAGGGAAAGGGUGAGCUGAAUAAACGUCAUGCCCUACUCUGGGGAGAGAGGGUGCCUGGGAAAGAGAAGACCUGUGCUUGGAAGGAAGAUCCCAUCCUGUACCCAAGCAAACGGCCAGUGGUUGCAAGGCAGAGCUCAUGGAAAUCAAUCCCUAAUGCCUAUCCACACAAUAAAAAGAGCAAAUUCCCACUGAUCUGCCAUGCUAGGACUGAGAUAAAGCCAGGAAGCAAACCUAAUCUGUCAUUCUUUUAUAAUUAUUCUUAAAGAUUUAUUGGUUUACUUAUUUUGGCUGUGAUGGGUCUUUGUUGCUGUACGGGCUUUCUCUAGCUGUGGUGAGGGGCGGGGGGCUCCUCUUUGCUGCAGUGUGCAGGUUUUCUUGUUGUGGUGGCUUCUCUUGUUGCAGAGUGCAGGCUGUAGGUGUGCAGGCUGUAGGUGUGUAGGCUGUAGGUGCGUAGGCUGUAGGUGCGUAUGCUUUGGUAAUUGUGACACAGGGGCUUAGUUGCUCUGAGGUAUGUGGGAAUCUUCCUGGACUAGGGAUACUUGUGGGGACAAUGUGUCCCCUGCAUUGGCAGGCAGAUUCCUAACCACUGGACCACCAGGGAAGCCCCCAACCUGCCAUUCUUGAUGGGAAAUGAAGCUUAUUGGCUACUUGUUAAAACAAGAAAAUUAUGUGGUCAAUUGUUGCAAUACUUUGAUCUGCAUGUAUUGUUCUUAAUUUUGUUUUAUUUUCAGUAUUUCUUCUUCAAUGCUCUUCCUUUUUUUAUGUACAUCUGAGUUUCUGACCUGUACUAUUUUCCUUCUCUCUAAAGAACAUCUUUUAGCAUUUCUUUCAAGGCAGGUCUAUUGCCAACAAAUUUCCUUAAUUUUUUUGAGAAAGUCUUUCUUUCUCCUUCACUUUUAAAGUGUAACUUCACAGGGUACAGAAUUUUAGGUUGGUGGUUUUUCUCUCAGCACUAAAUAUUUCGCUCUAUUCUCUUUUGUUUGCAUGAGUUCUAAGGAGAAGUCAUGUAAUUCUUGUCUUUGUUCUUCUAUAGGUAUCUUUUGUUUUCUUUUGACUUCUUUCAGAAUUU
Bubalus bubalis (water buffalo) is the source of this 1525-nucleotide long non-coding RNA. RefSeq lists it as uncharacterized. The record is from RefSeq and is a predicted model, not a curated record. NCBI's taxonomy places the organism in Eukaryota, Metazoa, Chordata, Mammalia, Artiodactyla, Bovidae. The transcript is spliced from 2 exons.